Molecule: ribosomal RNA, 3149 nt
Filed under: Streptomyces seoulensis
Lineage: Bacteria; Bacillati; Actinomycetota; Actinomycetes; Kitasatosporales; Streptomycetaceae
Description: 23S ribosomal RNA
Rfam family: Bacterial large subunit ribosomal RNA
Source: RNAcentral
ACAGUGGACGCGAGCAUCUGUGGCCAAGUUUUUAAGGGCGCACGGUGGAUGCCUUGGCACCAGGAACCGAUGAAGGACGUGGGAGGCCACGAUAGUCCCCGGGGAGCCGUCAACCAGGCUUUGAUCCGGGGGUUUCCGAAUGGGGAAACCCGGCAGUCGUCAUGGGCUGUCACCCGCUGCUGAACACAUAGGCAGUGUGGAGGGAACGAGGGGAAGUGAAACAUCUCAGUACCCUCAGGAAGAGAAAACAACCGUGAUUCCGGGAGUAGUGGCGAGCGAAACCGGAUGAGGCCAAACCGUAUACGUGUGAGACCCGGCAGGGGUUGCGUGUGCGGGGUUGUGGGAUCUCUCUUCUGUCGUCUGCCGGCGACAGGACGAGUCAGAAACCGUUGAUGUAGGCGAAGGACAUGCGAAAGGUCCGGCGUAGAGGGUAAGACCCCCGUAGUCGAAACAUCAGCGGCUCGUUUGAGAGACACCCAAGUAGCACGGGGCCCGAGAAAUCCCGUGUGAAUCUGGCGGGACCACCCGCUAAGCCUAAAUAUUCCCUGGUGACCGAUAGCGGAUAGUACCGUGAGGGAAUGGUGAAAAGUACCGCGGGAGCGGAGUGAAAUAGUACCUGAAACCGUGUGCCUACAAGCCGUGGGAGCGUCGCGCAUUGAGUUUACUCAGUGCGUCGUGACUGCGUGCCUUUUGAAGAAUGAGCCUGCGAGUUUGCGGUGUGUUGCGAGGUUAACCCGUGUGGGGAAGCCGUAGCGAAAGCGAGUCCGAAUAGGGCGAUUCAGUAGCGCGCUCAAGACCCGAAGCGGAGUGAUCUAGCCAUGGGCAGGUUGAAGCGGAGGUAAGACUUCGUGGAGGACCGAACCCACCAGGGUUGAAAACCUGGGGGAUGACCUGUGGUUAGGGGUGAAAGGCCAAUCAAACUCCGUGAUAGCUGGUUCUCCCCGAAAUGCAUUUAGGUGCAGCGUCGUGUGUUUCUUGCCGGAGGUAGAGCACUGGAUAGGCGAUGGGCCCUACCGGGUUACUGACCUUAGCCAAACUCCGAAUGCCGGUAAGUGAGAGCACGGCAGUGAGACUGUGGGGGAUAAGCUCCAUGGUCGAGAGGGAAACAGCCCAGAGCAUCGACUAAGGCCCCUAAGCGUACGCUAAGUGGGAAAGGAUGUGGAGUCGCAGAGACAACCAGGAGGUUGGCUUAGAAGCAGCCACCCUUGAAAGAGUGCGUAAUAGCUCACUGGUCUAGUGAUUCCGCGCCGACAAUGUAGCGGGGCUCAAGCGUACCGCCGAAGUCGUGUCAUUCAUACAAUAGGGCCAACGCCUGUAUGGAUGGGUAGGGGAGCGUCGUGUGCCGGGUGAAGCAGCCGCGGAAGCGAGUUGUGGACGGUUCACGAGUGAGAAUGCAGGCAUGAGUAGCGAUACAAACGUGAGAAACGUUUGCGCCGAUUGACUAAGGGUUCCUGGGUCAAGCUGAUCUGCCCAGGGUAAGUCGGGACCUAAGGCGAGGCCGACAGGCGUAGUCGAUGGAUAACCGGUUGAUAUUCCGGUACCCGCUGUGAAGCGUCAAACAUCGAGCAUCGUGAUGCUAAGGCCGUGAAGCCGUUCCGGACCCUUCGGGGAAUGGAAAGUGGUGGAGCCGCCGGCCCAAGCGGUUAGUAGGUGAGUGAUGGGGUGACGCAGGAAGGUAGUCCAGCCCAGGCGGUGGUUGUCCUGGGGUAAGGGUGUAGCCCGUGUGAUAGGCAAAUCCGUCACACAUUAAGGGUGAGACCUGAUGCCGAGCCGAUUGUGGUGAAGUGGAUGAUCCUAUGCUGUCGAGAAAAGCCUCUAGCGAGUUUCAUGGCGGCCCGUACCCUAAACCGACUCAGGUGGUCAGGUAGAGAAUACCGAGGCGUUCGGGUGAACUAUGGUUAAGGAACUCGGCAAAAUGCCCCCGUAACUUCGGGAGAAGGGGGGCCAUCACUGGUGAUCGGAUUUACUCCGUGAGCUGGGGGUGGCCGCAGAGACCAGCGAGAAGCGACUGUUUACUAAAAACACAGGUCCGUGCGAAGCCGUAAGGCGAUGUAUACGGACUGACGCCUGCCCGGUGCUGGAACGUUAAGGGGACCGGUUAGUCACUCUUCGGGGUGGCGAAGCUGAGAACUUAAGCGCCAGUAAACGGCGGUGGUAACUAUAACCAUCCUAAGGUAGCGAAAUUCCUUGUCGGGUAAGUUCCGACCUGCACGAAUGGCGUAACGACUUCUCGACUGUCUCAACCAUAGGCCCGGUGAAAUUGCACUACGAGUAAAGAUGCUCGUUUCGCGCAGCAGGACGGAAAGACCCCGGGACCUUUACUACAGUUUGAUAUUGGUGUUCGGUUCGGCUUGUGUAGGAUAGCUGGGAGACUUUGAAGCAUGCACGCCAGUGUGUGUGGAGUCGUCGUUGAAAUACCAGUCUGGUCGUGCUGGAUGUCUAACCUGGGUCCGUGAUCCGGAUCAGGGACAGUGUCUGAUGGGUAGUUUAACUGGGGCGGUUGCCUCCUAAAGAGUAACGGAGGCGCCCAAAGGUUCCCUCAGCCUGGUUGGCAAUCAGGUGUUGAGUGUAAGUGCACAAGGGAGCUUGACUGUGAGACCGACGGGUCGAGCAGGGACGAAAGUCGGGACUAGUGAUCCGGCGGUGGCUUGUGGAAGCGCCGUCGCUCAACGGAUAAAAGGUACCCCGGGGAUAACAGGCUGAUCUUCCCCAAGAGUCCAUAUCGACGGGAUGGUUUGGCACCUCGAUGUCGGCUCGUCGCAUCCUGGGGCUGGAGUCGGUCCCAAGGGUUGGGCUGUUCGCCCAUUAAAGCGGUACGCGAGCUGGGUUUAGAACGUCGUGAGACAGUUCGGUCCCUAUCCGCUGUGCGCGUAGGAAUAUUGAGAAGGGCUGUCCCUAGUACGAGAGGACCGGGACGGACGAACCUCUGGUGUGCCAGUUGUCCUGCCAAGGGCAUGGCUGGUUGGCUACGUUCGGGAGGGAUAACCGCUGAAAGCAUCUAAGCGGGAAGCCUGCUUCGAGAUGAGUAUUCCCACCUCCUUGAGAGGGUAAGGCUCCCAGUAGACGACUGGGUUGAUAGGCCAGAUAUGGAAGCCUGGUAACGGGUGGAGUUGACUGGUACUAAUAGGCCGAGGGCUUGUCCUCAGUUG